Bombus impatiens (common eastern bumble bee) is the source of this 3757-nucleotide long non-coding RNA. RefSeq lists it as uncharacterized. The transcript is spliced from 3 exons. The record is from RefSeq and is a predicted model, not a curated record. Lineage: Eukaryota; Metazoa; Arthropoda; Insecta; Hymenoptera; Apidae.
CGCUAACUUUUUAACUAGUUGCAAAUUAAAAUUUAACUCGAGGGUACCCAGCACCUUCACCUCUGUCGGCGUUUCUCGGUACUUUCUCGUUCCCCGGGUCUGGAGAGCGACAGCCUGUGCGACGAGACGCGUCCGCAGAAGAAGAGAGAGCGAAGAAAGUUUGCGGGAGUAGAUUUAAAAAAAGAACCGGAGGUUGCUGAAAGUUAUAGGGACCGAGGAUCGAAGACGUUAGAGACUUCGAUCAUUUUUACGAGCGCUCCUGGUCACUGGCGCAUCGUGCAACCGAGGAUGAGAAGAUACUGCGCGCUAUCUCGAUCCUGCUUUUUCUCCAAGCUGGCCCCUAACUCGACGCGAUGUCUGCUUUUCGCGAUCUACGAAGCGGCACAAAUUUUUCAACUCCGGAUAUUUGCUAGCCUGUUAUUCGUUGGCCGACCGAAACCAACGAGAGAGUACGAAAUACAAGAACCACCAGUUGUUUCCAUCCCGAAUACUUCUGUUACGUUAAAACAACAAUGGCAUUCCCACGAACAAUCGCAGCGGAUUUAGUUAGUCGGGCAUAAUAGGUCUAGGGCGUAUGUCGUUCUUUUUUUUUUUCUGAAUGCAUCACGGGGUAACGAGGCAGCUCCGUUACCGCGCGCGCAAUAUUUCAAUUACCGCUCAACGUAUCCUAUUGUUUGCAGACGCAGCAGUCGACAACUUGGGAUCUCCGUGAACCGGCUCGCGAAGCCACGAAGAAAUAAUUUCGAAAUUGCCGCCAGCGAUUUUUCACGAAACGACUGUGAUUGAAACGCGGUCGCCGGCACGCGGAUACGUGCGAACAGAGAGCGUCGCACACAAGCAAGACGACGCGACGGGUUCCGCGAGAAAAGCGCGGAAAAGAGUAUUGCAAAGAGAGAAGAAAGAGCAGGUAACCCCUUUUGCGACGGGCCGAGGGCAGGAAGAACAAAUUGCACUUCCCAGUCUCGUUAAAACAAUGUCGUCGGGGGAACAGAGAAGAAGGGCAAACCGUGGCAGUGAGGGGCGGGCCGAAGGGAAUGAGAGGUAGGAGGUGAGGGGCAGAGGAAAGCUAGGUGGCUGCUGCAGCUUCCAACGAAGGAGUAUUCAGGUCGUCGAAGGGGAAAAAAUAUGAAUGCGGUAGCAUGGUCAUCAGGGUGGCGCAGCGGUAUCGUGUCGUCCACGCCCUUACCGCGCCGCUUUUAGCGUUCCAAGUUAAGUUCUAUCGACUGAUUGGCAGUCCCCGAACGCUUUAUUACGCUCCGGUCGACAAUUUCGAGAAUAAGCCAUCACGGACAGUGGCGUAGGUACGGUGGGCGUCUCGAGACCUGCAUCGAGACACACAGAGAAUACGAACAGAGUCGGGUUUCGUGCGUACCUUCCGGUAAAGGUAUCGGUCUGGAAACGGUGAAUUAUAUCCCCGUAAGGUAUCAUUCUGCGGUAAGAGAUGGCACGGUAGCUAUCUGAUUCCGUUAUCUCGGCGCCAUAUACCCAGUCCGUGGAUUCCGCGGCGAAAUAACAGUCCUCAGAAAUAACGUAUUCCGUAGGUCGGCCCUUUCAGCGUCCCUCUCGGGUACGUUCGAACAUGUCCGUCUUCAUUCGCCUUUCAUCGACUAAGCUUUUCUUCUUUUCUGCUCUGACCGCGAAAGACGAAGAUCGGACGUGGUGAACAAUGCCGCGUGACGUUGGGUGCGGCCAGAAAACUGAACCAACUCCGCGACUGCAACUCGCAUAUGUACCGCCCUGAUUGUCCUACGUAUACGCGUCCUUAAGAAUUAAAGCGACGUUCAUUGUCCCGUUACUUGCAGAGUCGUACGGCGAUGAAGGAAUUAAUAAUUACGCGCAGCCUGCACAGCCACGCCAGAAACUCACAGGUUUGUCACAAAAAAGAAAAGGGGAGAUUGAAAUCGCUACCGCGAUCCUACGGAGAUAAGCUAGUGUGUACGUCAGAAUGCAGAAUGAUUUGGCGCGAUGGAAAUGUGUAUGUGUACGCGUGUACGGCAAAAUAGAACCGCGACCGAACUGAAACUUGAACUACUGGCCACGAACGAGAAGGAAAUUUAUCGACGAUAGGCGAGAUCGAUGAGACUGAAAAGGCUCCCGUACAAUAUAUAUCCCGCAGAGGGGCUUUCGACUGGUCGGAGGAUUAAGCGCUUUUCGAGAGACGCCUACCUGCCGGUGUGGAGAGAAGAUGAAGGGCGGAGAGAGAGAGAGAGAGGAAGAGAGGUAGCAGUCGGUUCUACGUCCAGCUGCGAUCGAAAACUAAAACUCUGGGGAGUGGAUCCUCUACAUUAAACCCCAUCCAUAGAAACGUAUUGCUUUGUGUAAAAUGUUCCCUGAUAAUAUCGAAGCUAUUCCGGGUGAUAUUGAUAUUGCUAUUGCUAGGGCGGAUGAUACCAAAAAAAAGGAAAUCAUGCCUAAUUUGAAAAAACGUUCGAGACAAAAAGACGAAACCACUUAGGCUCUCUUUUCUUUCCAAUUUCAUCCUUAAAUCUUAUCUCUGGAUAUAGACUUUUUAAGCCAGGAUAUCGUUUUAGGAACGACACACAUAAUGAUUUUCGCUGGUGAAAUCAGCUUCGCACAAUGCAAUCAAACGUUCAUACUCUUCAUUGGAAUGAAUGCCCCAUACUUGUUCUGUUUACGCGCAUCUUGCAUACAGUCCGAGGAUAAACAUCAUUAUCGAAUUGAUUCUAUUUCGUCUAAUUACUCGACGCGAAUACGCUUCUGUAUGGCGGAUAACCUGGGAAUUUAACGAAUAUAUUUGUGUAUCAUUGCUCUCCAAUUAAGACGAGCCUCUUCUUCGCGUGAUAAUAAAAGAUUUUUCAAACAAUGAAGUUCCCUAUUGUCCCAUCUAGCCGAUUUACAUAGCUAUAAAAGAGAACGAGCCAUUCGCAGGGGACGAGUAAGAAGCCGGACGACGCGACGUUUUCGAGUUUACACGACCGUGUCGACGGGACUUUCACGUAAUUGCGCAUCAAUGUCCUUCAGGGAAAUGUCUUCUCGAGACCAAUAAGUCCUGAAGAGGAAGCAGAGCGGAACGGAAGGAAAGAAACGAGAGCAUGAAAUAGCUGAGGAGAUGCCGUGGCAUGAUAACAGAUGUCUCGCGUCGCGGAUCUUGUCUCGUUGUCUUCGGGCAGUGACGCGGUACGCCAACAUCCCCGGCAUCGCGGUCCUUCGAGAAGCGAGAAGAAGCGAGGAGAGUACCGUCAAACAGAUUGAAAUCAACGGGAAGCGACUUCUAUUUUCUCCUCUGCACUGUACCAGAGCCAGAUCUGAAAUGAAAAUCUGUGGCCCCGCGAGCGAGGAACCGCAAGAUAAUUCAAAAAGAAGAGAAUGACUGUAAGAAAGAGGGAAAGGCAUAGCCCGGCAACGGCAUAGCAAACGUCCUAUGUACCUUCGCUCUGUUUCACGAAAUCGCGAACGAUUCAGUCAGACUGAUUAAAAUGUCCGUUUAUAACGUGACCAUAUUACGAAUUUCAUUUUCGAACUGAAUAUAUUCUCGAACCCUUCAGUUCGCAAGUUUCAGUUUCAAUUUGCAAGCUGCAAACGUUCUGAUAUUCAAUUAACGAUUUUAUAUUACAACGGGCUUCGUUAUUUUCAAAACAGAUAUUACAUUUAAUAAUCGUAACUAGAGCGAAACCCAACCGGUAUUUAUUGUCUCAGGCUACGCGGCCGCGCUCGGACAAAAGUCCGUGUAUCAUCUUUCAUGAACAAAAUAAAAUGCAAAAAAAGGAUAGCGAGAGAGAGAGAGAGAGAGAGAGAG